RNAcentral lists this ribosomal RNA (112 nucleotides) under Acanthosepion pharaonis. Lineage: Eukaryota; Metazoa; Mollusca; Cephalopoda; Sepiida; Sepiidae. The record is from RNAcentral.
ACGGUAAAAUCACGCUGAAACACCGGUUCUCGUUCGAUCACCGAAGUUAAGCAUCGUAGAGCCAGGUCAGUACUUAGAUGGGGGACCGCUUGGGAACACCUGGUACUGUAAG